This 253-nucleotide ribosomal RNA is filed under the name uncultured bacterium. Its description in RNAcentral is "partial 16S ribosomal RNA". It matches the Rfam family "Bacterial small subunit ribosomal RNA", at positions 524 to 776 of the family's 1533-position model. The record is from RNAcentral.
UACGGGGGGGGCAAGCGUUGUUCGGAAUUACUGGGCGUAAAGGGCUCGUAGGCGGCCAACUAAGUCCGACGUGAAAUCCCCAGGCUUAACCUGGGAACUGCGUCGGAUACUGGAUGGCUUGAAUUCGGGAGAGGGAUGCAGAAUUCCAGGUGUAGCGGUGAAAUGCGUAGAUAUCUGGAGGAAUACCGGUGGCGAAAGCGACUCUCUGGACGGCAACUGACGCUGAGACGCGAAAGCGUGGGGAGCGAACAGG